AUUGAACGCUGGCGGAAUGCUUUACACAUGCAAGUCGAGCGGCAGCGCGGGGGCAACCCUGGCGGCGAGCGGCGAACGGGUGAGUAACAUAUCGGAACGUACCCCGUCGUGGGGGAUAACACAGCGAAAGCUGUGCUAAUACCGCAUACGACCUGAGGGGUGAAAGCGGGGGGAUCGCAAGACCUCGCGCGAUGGGAGCGGCCGAUAUCGGAUUAGCUUGUUGGUGAGGUAAAGGCUCACCAAGGCGACGAUCCGUAGCUGGUCUGAGAGGACGACCAGCCACACUGGAACUGAGACACGGUCCAGACUCCUACGGGAGGCAGCAGUGGGGAAUUUUGGGACAAUGGGGGGCAACCCUGAUCCAGCCAUUCCGCGUGAGUGAAGAAGGCCU
This 391-nucleotide ribosomal RNA is filed under the name uncultured bacterium. RNAcentral describes it as "bacterial SSU rRNA". It matches the Rfam family "Bacterial small subunit ribosomal RNA", at positions 29 to 417 of the family's 1533-position model. The record is from RNAcentral.